GUUUUUAUUUUUAAUAGAAUUUAAUAGAAUAGAAUAUAAUAAUAGGUUUAUUCAUAGAAUGUUUUAUAUACCACUACACACAGUUGACAUAGUAUAUAUAGCUACAUAUAACAAUACACACCUACAACACUCACAGUCACAUCAUUGUGUAGUUGUUGUCCCAGUGUGUUCUUCUCAUGUCAAGCUGUGAAUGACCAGAACAUUAAAGGGGGAGAAUUCAAAAUCAAUAGUAAUUUCUGAAAAUGUAUGGGAAGUCAGCUGUCUCUCUCGGUGAUCCUGCUUUGUGACGUAUCCCACAGGACACGAGGGGAGGGUUGGAAUGGCAGCGAUCAAACUGAAAGAUGACAUGGAGUUUGACAGUAGCGCCACACUGGAGCACGUCAAGUCCUCCCUGCCCAGCUACGCUCGACCGCGCUUCAUACGCAUACAGAAUUCCCUGGCUGUGACUGGAACGUUCAAGCAGAUAAAGGUGAAGCUAGCCGAAGAGGGAUUCAACCCAUCCAUGAUGCAGGAUCGAUUAUACUACCUGGAGGACAGUAAGGGAUACAUCCCCAUGACGCAGGAGAGAUGUUCCACUCUAUUUCUGAUGGAAAGAUACACUUUUGAUUGAUUUUUUUUAUUUACAUAUUUUCUAACUGUUAAUCUCUUAUUUUAAAAUUAACUGUCAAAUUAUUCAUCUGAUGUACAUUUUAUGACUAUAGAAAAACAAUGUGAAAAUUGAAAACUGUAUGGAACAUUUGUAAAUAACUAAAUAUAGAUUGAUUUUGUAAUAAAUACAAAAAACACAUUGUA
This is a long non-coding RNA of Oncorhynchus masou masou (cherry salmon), 792 nucleotides long. RefSeq lists it as uncharacterized. NCBI's taxonomy places the organism in Eukaryota, Metazoa, Chordata, Actinopteri, Salmoniformes, Salmonidae. The transcript has 2 exons. The record is from RefSeq and is a predicted model, not a curated record.